This 808-nucleotide ribosomal RNA is filed under the name uncultured bacterium. RNAcentral's name for it is "bacterial SSU rRNA". It matches the Rfam family "Bacterial small subunit ribosomal RNA", at positions 60 to 914 of the family's 1533-position model. The record is from RNAcentral.
AGUCGAACGAAGCCCUCGGGUUUAGUGGCGCACGGGUGCGUAACGCGUGGGAAUCUGCCCCUUGGUUCGGAAUAACUGUUGGAAACGACUGCUAAUACCGGAUGAUGACGUAAGUCCAAAGAUUUAUCGCCGAGGGAUGAGCCCGCGUAGGAUUAGGUAGUUGGUGUGGUAAAGGCGCACCAAGCCGACGAUCCUUAGCUGGUCUGAGAGGAUGAUCAGCCACACUGGGACUGAGACACGGCCCAGACUCCUACGGGAGGCAGCAGUGGGGAAUAUUGGACAAUGGGCGAAAGCCUGAUCCAGCAAUGCCGCGUGAGUGAUGAAGGCCUUAGGGUUGUAAAGCUCUUUUACCCGGGAUGAUAAUGACAGUACCGGGAGAAUAAGCUCCGGCUAACUCCGUGCCAGCAGCCGCGGUAAUACGGAGGGAGCUAGCGUUAUUCGGAAUUACUGGGCGUAAAGCGCACGUAGGCGGCUUUGUAAGUAAGAGGUGAAAGCCCAGAGCUCAACUCUGGAAUUGCCUUUUAGACUGCAUCGCUUGAAUCAUGGAGAGGUCAGUGGAAUUCCGAGUGUAGAGGUGAAAUUCGUAGAUAUUCGGAAGAACACCAGUGGCGAAGGCGGCUGACUGGACAUGUAUUGACGCUGAGGUGCGAAAGCGUGGGGAACAAACAGGAUUAGAUACCCUGGUAGUCCACGCCGUAAACGAUGAUAACUAGCUGUCCGGGGACUUGGUCUUUGGGUGGCGCAGCUAACGCAUUAAGUUAUCCGCCUGGGGAGUACGGCCGCAAGGUUAAAACUCAAAUGAAUUGAC